GGUGGCGAGUGGCGAACGGGUGAGUAAUACAUCGGAACGUGCCCUGUCGUGGGGGAUAACUAGUCGAAAGAUUAGCUAAUACCGCAUACGACCUGAGGGUGAAAGCGGGGGACCGCAAGGCCUCGCGCGAUAGGAGCGGCCGAUGUCUGAUUAGCUAGUUGGUGGGGUAAAGGCCCACCAAGGCGACGAUCAGUAGCUGGUCUGAGAGGACGAUCAGCCACACUGGGACUGAGACACGGCCCAGACUCCUACGGGAGGCAGCAGUGGGGAAUUUUGGACAAUGGGGGCAACCCUGAUCCAGCAAUGCCGCGUGUGUGAAGAAGGCCUUCGGGUUGUAAAGCACUUUUGUCCGGAAAGAAAUCCCUUGCUCUAAUAAAGCGGGGGGAUGACGGUACCGGAAGAAUAAGCACCGGCUAACUACGUGCCAGCAGCCGCGGUAAUACGUAGGGUGCGAGCGUUAAUCGGAAUUACUGGGCGUAAAGCGUGCGCAGGCGGUUUUGUAAGACAGGCGUGAAAUCCCCGAGCUCAACUUGGGAAUGGCGCUUGUGACUGCAAGGCUAGAGUAUGUCAGAGGGGGGUAGAAUUCCACGUGUAGCAGUGAAAUGCGUAGAGAUGUGGAGGAAUACCGAUGGCGAAGGCAGCCCCCUGGGACGUCACUGACGCUCAUGCACGAAAGCGUGGGGAGCAAACAGGAUUAGAU
This 700-nucleotide ribosomal RNA is filed under the name Cupriavidus basilensis. RNAcentral's name for it is "bacterial SSU rRNA". It matches the Rfam family "Bacterial small subunit ribosomal RNA", at positions 87 to 783 of the family's 1533-position model. The record is from RNAcentral. Lineage: Bacteria; Pseudomonadati; Pseudomonadota; Betaproteobacteria; Burkholderiales; Burkholderiaceae.